Molecule: ribosomal RNA, 502 nt
Filed under: Klebsiella quasipneumoniae subsp. similipneumoniae
Lineage: Bacteria; Pseudomonadati; Pseudomonadota; Gammaproteobacteria; Enterobacterales; Enterobacteriaceae
Also listed under: 1 other name
Description: partial 23S ribosomal RNA
Rfam family: Bacterial large subunit ribosomal RNA
Source: RNAcentral
GGCGUUAAGUUGCAGGGUAUAGACCCGAAACCCGGUGAUCUAGCCAUGGGCAGGUUGAAGGUUGGGUAACACUAACUGGAGGACCGAACCGACUAAUGUUGAAAAAUUAGCGGAUGACUUGUGGCUGGGGGUGAAAGGCCAAUCAAACCGGGAGAUAGCUGGUUCUCCCCGAAAGCUAUUUAGGUAGCGCCUCGUGAACUCAUCUUCGGGGGUAGAGCACUGUUUCGGCUAGGGGGUCAUCCCGACUUACCAACCCGAUGCAAACUACGAAUACCGAAGAAUGUUAUCACGGGAGACACACGGCGGGUGCUAACGUCCGUCGUGAAGAGGGAAACAACCCAGACCGCCAGCUAAGGUCCCAAAGUCAUGGUUAAGUGGGAAACGAUGUGGGAAGGCACAGACAGCCAGGAUGUUGGCUUAGAAGCAGCCAUCAUUUAAAGAAAGCGUAAUAGCUCACUGGUCGAGUCGGCCUGCGCGGAAGAUGUAACGGGGCUAAACCAUG